RNAcentral lists this transfer RNA (72 nucleotides) under Hypholoma sublateritium FD-334 SS-4. It matches the Rfam family "tRNA". Rfam says of the family: Transfer RNA (tRNA) molecules are approximately 80 nucleotides in length. Their secondary structure includes four short double-helical elements and three loops (D, anti-codon, and T loops). Further hydrogen bonds mediate the characteristic L-shaped molecular structure. tRNAs have two regions of fundamental functional importance: the anti-codon, which is responsible for specific mRNA codon recognition, and the 3' end, to which the tRNAs corresponding amino acid is attached (by aminoacyl-tRNA synthetases). tRNAs cope with the degeneracy of the genetic code in two manners: having more than one tRNA (with a specific anti-codon) for a particular amino acid; and 'wobble' base-pairing, i.e. permitting non-standard base-pairing at the 3rd anti-codon position. The record is from Rfam by way of RNAcentral. Lineage: Eukaryota; Fungi; Basidiomycota; Agaricomycetes; Agaricales; Strophariaceae.
AGCAGCAUGGCGCAGUGGAAGCGCGCGGGGCUCAUAACCCCGAGGUUAUUCGAUCGAAGCGAGUUGCUGCUA